Molecule: long non-coding RNA, 269 nt
Filed under: Ananas comosus (pineapple)
Lineage: Eukaryota; Viridiplantae; Streptophyta; Magnoliopsida; Poales; Bromeliaceae
Description: long non-coding RNA (ACOM_LNC039995)
Source: RNAcentral
UUGAAGGAUAUUCAUUUCCAGCCAUUCAUUUUUCUGUUCACUUGAUGGACAAAGGAACAAUAUCGAAAAUGUGUGAAAUUUAAUUUCCAGAUAGUUUAAAUAGUUUAGAUCAUGUUUAACAGUACUGAUCAUCAAUUUGGAAGCUCUAUCAUCGAAAACAAAUCGGUAGUAAACCGAGCCGUUUACUACCGAUAGUAUUACUCGUCUCAAUUACCACAGAUUUGUUCGCAAAUCGGAUCGGCGAUUUGCUAGUCUUAUCACUUAACUCA